Oncorhynchus tshawytscha (Chinook salmon) is the source of this 923-nucleotide long non-coding RNA. The record is from Ensembl. Lineage: Eukaryota; Metazoa; Chordata; Actinopteri; Salmoniformes; Salmonidae.
CUGCAGAUUGAUUUUAUAAGACAUACAACACUGGGAGAGGACUGCAGAUUGAUUUUAUAACACGGACAACACUAGGAGAGGACUGCAGAUUGAUUUUAUAAGACAGACAACACUGGGAGAGGACUGCAGAUUGAUUUUAUAAGACGGACAACACUGGGAGAGGACUGCAGAUUGAUUUUAUAAGAUGGACAACACUGGGAGAGGACUGCAGAUUGAUAUUAUAACACGGACAACACUGCAGAUUGAACCACUGAAGUUCCCAGAAGGGGAUUAUAUCAACAAGUGAAAGCGAACAUCAUGUCACGUUAUCGUCUUACUGAGAUACCUAGUGGACACAACAGCAUAACCGAGGAGUUGAAUUUCCUACGUCCCUAAGACCAUUGAUAAAUAGGUCAUUGACUAAUACACAAAGACAACAUAUUAGUUAUACACACCAGUGGGAUACCCCAGCAGUUCUACUACCUGUCGUCAUACAGCAGGAACAGACACUUUCUACCUCAUCAAUUUACCAAAGUCCAGGUUCCAGAAAACCCCCCCGGCAUAAGACAUUUUACAGCCAUAUUCCAACCAAACAAGUAAAUAUGGCAAUAUUGCUUGAAUGAUCUGUCCAAUUCACAUUCACAUUCAUAGUCGGCAGGGUGGCCUAGUGGUUAGAGUGUAGAGGCGGCAGGGUGGCCUAGUGGUUAGAGUGUAGAGGCGGCAGGUAGCCUAGUGGUUAGAGUGGAGGGGUGGCAGGGGUGGCAGGGUAGCCUAGUGGUUAGAGUGGAGGGGCGGCAGCGUAGCCUAGUGGUUAGAGUGUUGGACUAGUAACCGGAAGGUUGCAAGUUCAAACCCCCGAGCUGACAAGGUACAAAUCUGUCACUCUGCCCCUGAACAGGCAGUUAAACCCACUGUUCCUAGGCCGUCAUUGAAAAUAAGAAUUU